Long non-coding RNA from Homo sapiens (human), 4583 nucleotides. RefSeq lists it as uncharacterized. The transcript has 3 exons. The record is from RefSeq and is a predicted model, not a curated record. Lineage: Eukaryota; Metazoa; Chordata; Mammalia; Primates; Hominidae.
ACUGGCUCUGCAGCGAUAUUAACUAGCUUCCAGGAGGCGGAGGCCAGCGCCUCCCUGCAUCCCCGUCUCGGCAUUAAACCAAACGUGGACGCCCUUGAUAGACUUUUAAAGGGAAAGCAGGAAUCGUCCUUUACACUUCACCUGCUUUUUACAGCGCAGGGGCCUCUGACAUUUGUGUAAAAUCCACCCGCCAGGAACCGCAGGCUCAGAGCUCAGAAGCGCCCUGUCCUCUUCAGGAGCCCGGGGGCUGACGCCACUCCUUCGAGGGGGCCAAGGCUGAAAAAUCAGCUGGCAAAAGGCAGAUUAAUUGGAGAAAAGGCAUACACGUUUAUGUAACGUAUGUACACAGGAGCCUUCAGCAUAAAGAACGAACGUACAGGGGAACUUGUCCACUUUUAUGCUUCUGUCCAACAAAGUAUGGACGGCCGGGUAGAAUAUGAUCAGACAAGAAGGGUGUGAUCUAACGCUGAGACCGAGUGAGGACACCCAGCAAGGCCUGUCCGGCUAGAUUCUGCCUGGCCUCUCUGAGCACACAUUCCUUCCUUCUGGAAUGAGGGGGUCUUAUGACCAGCAGUCAAACAAGAGCAGAAUGCAGAGAAGAGAUCCAAUUAAUUAAUCGAUCACUUCAGUUAUUGGGUUUCUGGUUUCAAGAAGUCAAGAUCUGCUACUGAAAUGUGCCAAAAGGAGGACCACUCAAAAAGUGCAGCACUUCCUGAAGAAAGGCAGAAUAAAGCAGCUGACUGCAGAGGCCAGGACGGCAGCGCCAGUGAAGGCUUCACACUGGGAUCUCAAGGCGGUAGCUCACAAACUUGUCUUUUAAGGGUCCUAAGGUCAACCAGAUUGGGAGCUUUCUACAUUCUCUAACCCACCUCCGUGGAAAUGCCCCAUGCCUGCAGUGCCCAGGUGUGUAUCAAAAGCUUCGAAAAGUCACACAGCCAAGAAAUCUGCUGAAUUCUAUUCAGCCGAGGGUCUUCCAAACUAACUGGACCAUGGGCCCUCUCUUGGCCUGACACAGCCUCAAGCCACUCUGGGGAUCCUGACUUGGCAUGCAUGGCCAGGGAGAGCACUUCUGAGAGCAGGAUUGUCAUUCAGACAGGGGUGUGCAGACACGUGUUAGCAGUGGACACCAACACACGGUAAUUUUCCUGGGCACCAACUCUGAGGAAUGAAGUCUUUAAAGACUAGAGUAAAGCCAAAAAAAAGAGAGGUGGGUGCCUAAAUUGAUAAACGCCUGAACAUGAAGUCUCUGAAUUCUACUUCUCAGGGAACAGGAGGGCCUGGGGCAGAAUGAUGUCUGGGUGGUCAGAGGUCACGAAAGCAGAUUUUGGUCAAGUCUGAGAAAUGAGGCACAGGAGCUGCAUGGUGUGGUCUUCUCGUCUGUGAUAACAAUUUUCUGUGGUCCACUCAGGAUGUGUCCAGAAACUUGAGGGUUUGGGACAGGUUCACAAAAUCAGCACUUAAUACCCUUUAUCAAUGCCUUGGCUUAAAGAGCCAUUCAAACACCCAGAGUGUGUGUGAGGGAACACACAUGCAUGCACAGUGUGGCCUGAGACUCAACUGUAAGUCUGAGCUUAUGCUGCACCUGCUUUAUUUCACACAGAAUGUUAGAGUUGCUAGUAUCUACAUCCAGUCAUCCUUGACUCUAUCUUGGCCUCUAAAAUACCGGAGUUAAAAUUCUCCUACCACAUAGAGCAAGAUUCAAAUGCAAGGCCAGGAGGGAUUAGGGUACAAGGCAUGCUGAGUUACCCGUAGUCUGCUGGAGCCAUCGGUGCAGAGGCCUGGGACCCCUCUGGGGCCUGAGGGGGAGGCGGGGGGGGCGGCUGCUGAGGUCUGUUGAGGGCCAUGUGCCUCGCCGAGGCAGAUGGGGGCCGGUACUCAUGCUCCGCAGCCUGGCUUGCAGGCCCGUGUGGUGGCACGUCACCAGCUGCAUAGGAAGGGGUCACAGGCUGGGGGUGCAGAGAAUGGUUGGGAGUAGCCGGGUAAGAGUAAUCCGUAACGUCCGAUGCAUGUGACCUGGCAUUUGAAAACAAGAGGUGGGAGAAAUUUAAAUUAAUUUAAAAAUUGUCGGCUAACAGGCACAUGGAUGUAUUUGAAUAAUAACAUUGCUAAUACACAAAAAUCAGACAUUAAUUUGCUUUACUAUCAACUAGGUAUAGCCCCGUGAGAGAUUCCAAGCAACAACAUAAUUAUUAUAAGUCGGCAGCAAGCCCCAGUGUUACAUGGAUUCAGAUUCACAGCUUUGAAGUGAAUAAGUCAGACAGACCGGCAAGCAGGAAACAGCAGAGCCUCCUUUUCACAGUAUUUCAGCAUACGUUUUCUCUAAGAAGGCUAUGAAAGAAACCAUUCCAUUUAGAAACAGGAUAUAAGACAGAAGAUUUCAGUGGCAAUGAAACUGACAGCAUAUAAUUAGAAAAUAUAAAAUGGCAGGUUAACUGGAUAAAUAUUAACAGUAAGAACAGGAAAAGAAAUCGAGAAUGCAGUAGAGUGAAUCAUAUUUUUCUUAAACAGAAGAAAUGUACUUAACAAAAAGGGCAGAAAGCAAUGCGGUGCACUAUGGAAAGGCCUUCUUUCCAUAGUUUUCUUUGCACACAAACUGGGUGUGAAACUCCGAAAGGAAAGGGAUCUUGGAUUAGUGGAGCAGAGCUGAGACAUGGGGUGCAGGGACGGGAUUCCUGCUAAGCCCUCAGGAGGAGAGGAAGGACCCAAGUGUGGCAGCCCGGCAGUGCCGUGGGCGUUAGUAAGACAGUCACACGCUCCUGGCUCAGGUUACAGGACAUGUGGCCAGGAGGGGCUGUACAUCCUCUCAUGGCGGCAGAAGCAGGGGCAGUCUGAGUCUGGGAACCCAAAGAAAGCAAAACAACAAACCCGCUGGGCACUCUGUCCUCUUUGGCGCUCCCUGCCUGCUCCAGUUUCUUUGCGUCACUCAUAAACUCAAUGCCCAUUUUCCUUCUCUCCCACUCUUCUUUUCUUGUUCUGACUUUUCUCACAUUUACUUGCUGGUUUCUGUUAGGGUUCAGCUUGUGUUUCUCUCUCUGAAGGAAAUACCAAACACACAUUGGGGGUGCUGAGGGAGCAGGGAAGAUGCACGCUGCAUUUCCAUCUUUGGGAUUCCAGUUGGUAGCUUUUCUUAACUGGGGCACCAUGUGGCACAGAAAAGCCUUCCAAAUGAGAAGAGACAGCUUCUUUUCCUUUUUCCUUCCUUAAUUGAAGUGUAACAACUAAUAACUACUCAUUAUUUUCUUCCCUAAUUGCAGUAUGAAUUCUGGAUUAUGGUGCACUUCUGAUUAUGUCUUUUGAACUAGGUGAGCUGCUAGCAAAUGACUUAAAAAUAUAUUUAAUGGGGGAAGGACCUGACCUGUAUUUAGAUUUAGAGUAUUUUAAAAAUGUAAAUUCCUAUAACCCUUGGAGACACUGAUGAUGUGUGCUUGACUCUGCGCAUGACUACGAGUCACUGGCUUACAGUGCAACCUUUUAAAGGAAACAGAGUUCUCCAGCCAAACAUGGACAGCUUUCUGAUGAGAUGAGGGUAGGAAACUAUAAAUACUGUGGCAUAACUAGGAGGGCGAUCCCUAUCAAGGAGCCUUGCAACACAGGGUAGAAAGGAAGCAAGGAAAAGGGGCUAACCAGAUGGAGGCAGAAGUGAAGGAAGACUCGAUAAAUAUCUGAAGUAGAAACCAGAGAUUUCUACAGGGCAGAACCCUGAUGAAGGGUGCCCAUCAGGAGGACGGGGGCUGGGGGAAGAGGGGACUGGUCAGUUGAAGAGGGAAGGACCACAGAAAAGGGAUGUGCCAGCAGGCAGGAGGAGGAGGAGGGAGGAGCAGGCAGCUGUUGGAGAUGAGCCCCACUCCCAGUGGGGAGGCAGAAACCAGCUGCAGACGCACGGCCAAGGUGGAGGUGAGUGGAGAUCCCGAGGCCUCAUGAUGGUCAGUGAUCACCUAUUACAGAAGAGAGGACUGGGAGGGCCAGAGGCGACACUGACACGGGAGGAAGAGGACUGGGAGGGCCGGGGACGAUGGGAGGAGGAGGGCCGGGAGGGCCGGAGAUGACACCGACACGGGAGGAGGAGGAAGAGGGCUGGGAGGGCUGGAGACAACGCUGACAUGGGAGGAGGAGGGCCGGGAGGGCCAGAGGCGACACCACACGGGAGGAAGUAGGCACAGCAGCAGAGACUCAGUGUGAGAGGUCGAUAUAUCCCCCAGGGUUUUUUGGGUAGACAGGCGGGCAGCCAGAGAUCUGCACCAGGGCCCAGAACUGGAUGAGAAAAAACAAGGACAAUUGGGCAUGGAGGUGUGCGACUCCCUGAGUGGCAGUGACAGAGAGCUGGUCAUACAGCAGGCAAGCACUUCCCAGCGCUCAUCUUAAAUUUAUUCUCAGGAACAAGCCAUUCCUAACAAUCUAGAGAGAGAGCAAAAAUGUAAGAUGGGUUACGGUAUAUUACUUAUAUAAUAGCAUAUACACACACCAUGAAACCUGGUAUUUAAAUUUCCCUCAGUAUCUUGGAUGCACUCAGAUGAGCGGAUACAAUCAUUAAAAAUCAUGUUGCGAAAUAAUACCUAAAACAUGGGAUAUAAUUUCUAAAAGUC